CCCACCAAUAUUUUCCGAUUUGAUAUUUUGUUUAUUUAGGCAGCAACCAUUUGAUUUUCUGGGGGGGGGGGGGGGGGGGGGGGGGGGCUAUGGGUUUUUUUUCUUUCAAUUUUAGCAUUACAUAUAGUGGCAGCUGAGGGUGAAAAACAAACAAUUUUUUUUUCUCAGAAUCAAAAACAAAUUAUUUUUUUCUUCAAAAACUGGAAACAAACUUUUUUUUCCAAAAAAAACCAUAGCCCCCCAGAAAAUCAAAUUGUUGCUGCCUUAGGACCUGGGAGAAUAAAAUAAUUUCAAGUUGCAUCUGCCCCUCUAUUAAAUUUUCCAUUCAUACAUCAUCUUCUUUGACAUUAAAGUUCAUUCUUUUCGACUUUAAUGACUUUUUACAAACUUCAAGAAACUUGGACAGGAAUAAAACAGAAAUGAAAGAAAUGGGAUGAGAUAAACUCUAAUUGGUUAUUGAGAGGUGGAAGGACCUUUGUUCAAAUGUCUGGAUUAGGUUUUUUUUGUGGGAUUUGUGGGUUUAAAUGUAACAAGAUAGUUAUCAAAGGUACCAAGAUUAUAAUUAAGUACGCCAGACGUGCAUUUCGUCUACAUAAGACUCAUCAGUGACGCUCAUAUCAAAAUAUUGACCCAGGAAUUAAUGAUUAAAAUGUUUCCUGAUAAGGGAUAAAAUGGUUAAAUUUUUUUUGAAAUUCAUAAUUCAACAUUAUUUUUCCUCCCCUAUUAUAAAACAAUUGAAAGUUAUAAAAAAACUUAUAUUUCAAUGUGCAGUUUUAAACUUUAUCUCCUCCUCAAACAGGCAGAUUUUUUUCUUUUGUAUUUGUCAGUUUGGUAUUCAAUUGUUACAUUUAUAAAGCUAAUAAUAUCAAAGAGGCAAACAGUUUCUGCACAAAAAAUUCUAAAAAGUAAACGAAAAAUAUACAAAUUUCUAUAUAUCUCCACCCUCUUAGGUUGAAAAGUAAUGAUUUAGUUUAAUUUUAUACAGUACACUUUUGGGUUUGGAUCACAACUUUAUAAAACAAUAAACAUCUAAUUAAUGUGUGAAAUUACUUGCUUUCAAUUGACCAAAAAAAUGGAAAAGAAAGAAUAUGAUUUAUUAGUUCAAGACACAAAAUUCCUACAUUAACUUGACAAAAAACAAAGACACCGCUCCUUCAAAGUUGACCUAAAUAAGAUACCGGGUACAUAUGUAUGGUCCAUUAGUUUUGAUUACAUACAAUAAUAUUACCUCCUGCAAAACAAAGAAGAUUGUCAACAACACAAUCAAACACUUAAACAAAAACACUUAGAUUAUAAUAAAAAAGACACAUAUUGGUUUUACACUGCGACAGAAAAUUUCUUCAUCUGAAUACAGACUAGCAUGUGAAAUAUGUUGGAAAUUUUGCUUUAACAUUUAUUGCGGUUAAUUAAUUUACCUCACAUUGAGACUUCAGGACUUUUGACAUUUAUCAUACAUCACUUAUAUAUAUGGGUGAUGGAAUUUCCGAGAUAUUUUUCUGACAAAGAGGAGAAAAUCCAAUUUUUAUACAUGUUUAAUCAUCCUAGUGAUAUGUAGGACUCUGAACUGUGAUGGUUUGAUGCUAAAGUGGGAUGAUCUGCACAAACUAAAUUGUCAAUGCUUUUCAUUUCCAUAUAGAGGACAAUUUAUAUGUAGGGGAAGAGUGAAUAAGGGUUUUAUAAACUUUUUAUACUACAAAAACAGGGAGAAUUGUGGAUAGGACAAAGUUUAUGUUGUGAUUUUUAUUGUUGAAAUCUACAAACUGUUUCUUUUACUGUUGAUGAGAGGCAUUCUUUAAAUACAUACAUGUCCCUGGACUCUCUUGUAAAAUUGUAAAAGUACGGUCAAAGAGGACAAAAUUAAGCAUCCCCCAUCACCUUCAAGUCCUAGAUAUGUAAGAAAGGUAUGACCAAUGUCAAAAUCUACAAGUCUCAACAAAAAAUUAGUUAAUCAAUUAUCAACAAUAAAAGCUUAUUCCUCUUACAAUGGGAA
This 1990-nucleotide long non-coding RNA is filed under the name Mytilus galloprovincialis (Mediterranean mussel). The record is from RNAcentral. Lineage: Eukaryota; Metazoa; Mollusca; Bivalvia; Mytilida; Mytilidae.